UGUGGAAGUAUAAAUAAUAUUAUAAGGUCUUGAGCAGUUACGAGUGUAGUAGUGACAAUUGACAUAAUAAACAAGACACCGAGAAAAGCGACUGACCAUUACUGGAUAUCGUUAUGUGCCUCACGCAGUUCGACAACCUUCACUACAUGCAAGUGGUGCAUACACCUCAGCGCCCGGAGAGGAGGUGGGAGGUUGUUCCAACAGCGAGAGGCCGCAUACUUAAAAGAUCCUCGAAAUGUGGCCGUUCUAUGCUGUGGUGUCAAAAUGCGGUACCGAGAGGCUCUUGUACGAGUGUUAACCUCACUUGCCCAGGAUAAUUUCUCAUACAAGUAGGAAGGAGUUUGGGUGCUUAUAAUGUCAAAAAGAAGUACGGCAAAAUGCAGUUUUCUACGCGCUUUCAUUUUAAGGAGGUUAGCAUUAUUAAUAUAUGGUGUAACAUGGGCACGAGGAGGAACAGUAAAGCAGAAACGCACACAUGCAUUCUGGACUCUUUGUACAAGUUUCUCUGUCCUGGCUAACAGAUUAUUACCUAUGACAGUGUCUGCAUAGUUCAGCUUCGACAGUACUAAUGUUUCGCAUAGCUUAAUUCUGAGCUCCUCAGACAGGUAAGGCCGGUACUUGUACAGCAUUUUGAGGCGGUAAAAACAGCCCCUAGUAACCUCUAACAUGUGUUGCUCAAAUUUAAGGUGCGAGUCAAAUACCACUCCUAGAUUGCGUGCUGUACUAACCUGCUCAAUCUGCUGUCCAGACACCAUAAUAGUUGGAUGCUUACCCAAGAUGUCUGCCACCUGUUUUUUGGAGCCCAGAACUAUAAACUUUGAUUUCUUUGGAUUUAAGACUAACCCACUUGAGUUCGACCAUUCUGCGACAUGUUGAAGGUCGUCAUUUAGUUUUUUUAAAGCUUCAGGCAUGUCCUUUGGAAAAAAACUGAUGUAGAUUUGGGUGUCAUCUGCAUACAUGUGAUACCUACAAUGAGCUAUGUUUUUGGAUAAGUCGGCACUAAAAAGUAUAAAAAGCAACGGGCCUAGGAUCGAUCCCUGUGGGACUCCUCUUGGAACAUCACAAGAUUCUGAGUACACCUUGCUACCAUUGCUGUCAGUUAUUUCUACCUUUUGUAAUCUAUUAGUCAGGUAGCUGCGGAACCAAUCGAUGACUGAGGGCUCAAAACCAUAGUAAGACAGCUUAGAUAGGAGGAGAGGAAUACUAAUUGUUUCAAACGCCCUGGAGUAGUCAAGCAAUACUAAGAUGGUGCCCAUGCCUUGGUCUUGAGCCGUGAUGACAUUGUCCAGAACGUCCAACAAAGCUGUCACAGUGCUGUGCUUACGUCGAAAACCAGACUGAUACUUCGGUAAAAUUUGGUUAGUCUCAAGGUAGUUAAUGACUUGGUUGUAUACUGCCUUUU
Aricia agestis (brown argus) is the source of this 1402-nucleotide long non-coding RNA. RefSeq lists it as uncharacterized. NCBI's taxonomy places the organism in Eukaryota, Metazoa, Arthropoda, Insecta, Lepidoptera, Lycaenidae. The record is from RefSeq and is a predicted model, not a curated record. The transcript is spliced from 2 exons.